AAACGAUUGAAGUCAGUCAUGUCUAUUGGUUUCAGCUAGCUCUGCUAGUGUAUUACCUUUAGACGGGUCAACAUCAGUUUUAGACGGUGGAAAAAGGCAUGAGGAAAGUAGCAUCUCCGGAUGUGUUAUAGCCUCGUGUUGCAUACACUGUUCGAGACUGAGGAAUGCAGCUCGCCUUUAUGGCCGGGGUUCGCCCACGUUCGAGCUUAGGAUGUUGACAUAAUGGCUUUAAACGA
Molecule: ribosomal RNA, 236 nt
Filed under: Bulleribasidiaceae sp.
Lineage: Eukaryota; Fungi; Basidiomycota; Tremellomycetes; Tremellales; Bulleribasidiaceae
Description: partial large subunit ribosomal RNA
Source: RNAcentral